Molecule: ribosomal RNA, 164 nt
Filed under: Quercus ithaburensis subsp. macrolepis
Lineage: Eukaryota; Viridiplantae; Streptophyta; Magnoliopsida; Fagales; Fagaceae
Description: 5.8S ribosomal RNA
Rfam family: 5.8S ribosomal RNA
About the family: 5.8S ribosomal RNA (5.8S rRNA) is a component of the large subunit of the eukaryotic ribosome. It is transcribed by RNA polymerase I as part of the 45S precursor that also contains 18S and 28S rRNA.
Source: RNAcentral
AAAACGACUCUCGGCAACGGAUAUCUAGGCUCUCGCAUCGAUGAAGAACGUAGCGAAAUGCGAUACUUGGUGUGAAUUGCAGAAUCCCGCGAAUCAUCGAGUUUUUGAACACAAGUUGCGCCCGAAGCCUUUCGGCCGAGGGCACGUCUGCCUGGGUGUCACGC